GACGAACGCUUGCGGCGUGCUUAACACAUGCCAGUCGAACGGAAAGGCCCUGCUUUUGUGGGGUGCUCGAGUGGCGAACGGGUGAGUAACACGUGAGUAACCUGCCCUUGACUUUGGGAUAACUUCAGGAAACUGGGGCUAAUACCGGAUAGGAGCUCCUGCUGCAUGGUGGGGGUUGGAAAGUUUCGGCGGUUGGGGAUGGACUCGCGGCUUAUCAGCUUGUUGGUGGGGUAGUGGCUUACCAAGGCUUUGACGGGUAGCCGGCCUGAGAGGGUGACCGGCCACAUUGGGACUGAGAUACGGCCCAGACUCCUACGGGAGGCAGCAGUGGGGAAUAUUGCACAAUGGGCGGAAGCCUGAUGCAGCAACGCCGCGUGCGGGAUGACGGCCUUCGGGUUGUAAACCGCUUUCGCCUGUGACGAAGCGUGAGUGACGGUAAUGGGUAAAGAAGCACCGGCUAACUACGUG
This 468-nucleotide ribosomal RNA is filed under the name uncultured bacterium. RNAcentral's name for it is "partial 16S ribosomal RNA". It matches the Rfam family "Bacterial small subunit ribosomal RNA", at positions 28 to 507 of the family's 1533-position model. The record is from RNAcentral.